CUAAGAUAGUAAGAGCAUACGGUGGAUGCCUUGGCGAUAUCUGCCGAUGAAGGACGCGACAAGCUGCGAAAAGCUGCGGAGAGGUGCAAAUGACCAUUGACCCGCAGAUCUCCGAAUGGAGCAAUCCGGCAGGGUUUAUCCCCUGUCACCCAUAUCUUCGAAUAUGGGAGGGAACCGGGCGAACUGAAACAUCUAAGUAGCCCGAGGAAGAGUAAUCAAACGAGAUACCCCAAGUAGCGGCGAGCGAACGGGGCCUAAGCCCAAACCGGUGAAGGAAACUUUGCCGGGGUUGAGGACUGCCAUACGAACUAGCCCAUUAGCCGAAAUUCCUGGGAAGGAAUGCCGAAGAAUGUGAAAGCCAUGUAAGCGAAAAUGGAAAAGGGACAGGCAGCACCAGAGUACCGCGGGACACGAGAAACCCCGUGGGAAGCCGGGGGGACCACCCUCCAAGGCAAAACACAGAUAUCGACCGAUAGCGCAUAGUACCAUGAGGGAAAGGUGAAAAGCACCCCGGGAGGGGAAUGAAAGAGAACCUGAAACCGUAUGUUUACAAGCAGUCGAAGACCGCUUAAUAAUAAGGUCAACGGCGUGCCUAUUGAAGAAUGAACCGGCGAGUUAUGAGGUCCAGCAAGGUUAAGCAGGAAAUGCGGAGCCGAAGCGAAAGCGAGUCUUAAUAGGGCGACAAGUUGGAUUGCAUAGACCCGAAACCACAGUGAUCUACCCAUGUCCAGGCUGAAGCACAGGUAAAAAUGUGUGGAGGGCCGAACCUAUAUCCGUUGAAAAGGGUUAGGAUGAGGUGUGGGUAGGGGUGAAAUUCCAAUCGAACGUGGAGAUAGCUGGUUCUCCCCGAAAUAGCUUUAGGGCUAGCCUCGAGGUAGAGAUUGCAGGCGGUAGAGCACUGAUCAGGAGAGGGGCCUACCCGGCUACCAAACCCAGUCAAACUACGAAUGGCUGCAAUUAUACUCGGGAGUCAGACUACGACUUAUAAGGGCCGUGGUCAAAAGGGAAACAGCCCAGAUCAUCAGCUAAGGUCCCAAAUGCCGUGCUAAGUGGCGAAGGAUGUGGCGUUUCAUAAACAACCAGGAUGUUGGCUCAGAAGCAGCCACCAUUUAAAGAGUGCGUAAUAGCUCACUGGUCGAGAGACGCUGCGCCGAAAAUGUCCGGGGCUCAAGCACGGAACCGAAGCUAUGGCAUGAUAGCAAUAUCAUGGGUAGGGGAGCGUUCUUAACAGGAAGAAGCAUGACCGAAAGGACAUGUGGACCGUUAAGAAGUGAGAAUGCCGGUAUGAGUAUCGAAAAGAAAGGUGAGAAUCCUUUCCACCGAAAGCCCGAGGGUUCCUGAGCAACGAUCGUCGUCUCAGGGUAAGUCGGGACCUAAGCCGAGGCGGAGACGCAUAGGCGAUGGACAACAGGUUGAAAUUCCUGUACCGGAUACAAUCGUUUGAGCGAUGGAGCGACGCAGAAAGGCAUAUGAUCGCGCGACUGGAAGAGCGCGUCCAAGUGCGUAUGUUGAAUCGGAGGCAAAUCCCUGAUUCUGAAAGCAGAGACACGAUGGGGAGUUAUACGAAAGUAUGACGAACUCAUAGAUCCUACACUGCCAAGAAAAACUUCUAGUGAGAAAGUAUCCGCCCGUACCGUAAACCGACACAGGUAGGCGGGGAGAGAAUCCUAAGGUGCGCGGGAAAACCCUCGUUAAGGAACUCGGCAAAUUGCAUCCGUAACUUAGGGAGAAGGAUGACCUUAAGUAAGCGAAAGGGAGAAACCCCUGGAACAGAACAAGGUGGCAGAAAAGAGGCCCAAGCAACUGUUUACCAAAAACACAGGUGCCUGCGAAAGCGAAAGCUGAAGUAUAGGUGCUGACGCCUGCCCGGUGCUGGAAGGUUAAGGAGAGAUGUCAGAGCAAUCGAAGCAUUGAACUGAAGCCCCAGUGAACGGCGGCCGUAACUAUAACGGUCCUAAGGUAGCGAAAUUCCUUGUCGGGUCAGUUCCGACCCGCACGAAUGGUGUAAUGAUCUGGGCACUGUCUCAACUACCCGCCCGGCGAAAUUGUA
Molecule: ribosomal RNA, 2050 nt
Filed under: human gut metagenome
Description: bacterial LSU rRNA
Rfam family: Bacterial large subunit ribosomal RNA
Source: RNAcentral